GACGAACGCUGGCGGCGUGCUUAACACAUGCAAGUCGAACGGAAAGGCCCUGCUUUUGUGGGGUGCUCGAGUGGCGAACGGGUGAGUAACACGUGAGUAACCUGCCCUUGACUUUGGGAUAACUUCAGGAAACUGGGGCUAAUACCGGAUAGGAGCUCCUGCUGCAUGGUGGGGGUUGGAAAGUUUCGGCGGUUGGGGAUGGACUCGCGGCUUAUCAGCUUGUUGGUGGGGUAGUGGCUUACCAAGGCUUUGACGGGUAGCCGGCCUGAGAGGGUGACCGGCCACAUUGGGACUGAGAUACGGCCCAGACUCCUACGGGAGGCAGCAGUGGGGAAUAGCACAAUGGGCGGAAGCCUGAUGCAGCAACGCCGCGUGCGGGAUGACGGCCUUCGGGUUGUAAACCGCUUUCGCCUGUGACGAAGCGUGAGUGACGGUAAUGGGUAAAGAAGCACCGGCUAACUACGUG
Molecule: ribosomal RNA, 466 nt
Filed under: uncultured bacterium
Lineage: Bacteria
Description: partial 16S ribosomal RNA
Rfam family: Bacterial small subunit ribosomal RNA
Source: RNAcentral